CGCGAAUGGCUCAUUAUAACAGCUAUAAUUUACUUGAUCUUGACACAAUCCUACUUGGAUAACUGUGGUAAUUCUAGAGCUAAUACAUGCAUUAAAGCUCCGACCUCACGGGAAGAGUGCAUUUAUUAGAACAAAACCAAGCGGCUUCGGCUGUUUCUGGUUGACUCAUAGUAACUGAGCUGAUCGCACGCGUCUUGCACCGGCGACGUGUCUUUCAAGUAUCUGCCGUAUCAACUUUCGAUGGUAGUGUAUCUGACUACCAUGGUGAUCACGCGUAACGGAGAAUAAGGGUUCGGCUCCGGAGAGUUCGCCUGAGAAAUCGCGAACACAUCUAAGGAAGGCAGCAGGCGCGAAAAUUACCCACUCUCAGCACGAGGAGGUAGUGACGAAAAAUAACGAGACCGUUCUCUUAUGAGGCCGGUCAUCGGAGUGGGUACAAUUUAAACCCUUUAACGAGUAUCUAUGAGAGGGCAAGUCUGGUGCCGGCAGCCGCGGUAAUUCCAGCU
RNAcentral lists this ribosomal RNA (506 nucleotides) under Cervidellus vexilliger. RNAcentral describes it as "SSU rRNA". It matches the Rfam family "Eukaryotic small subunit ribosomal RNA", at positions 88 to 590 of the family's 1831-position model. Lineage: Eukaryota; Metazoa; Nematoda; Chromadorea; Rhabditida; Cephalobidae. The record is from RNAcentral.